This 253-nucleotide ribosomal RNA is filed under the name uncultured bacterium. RNAcentral describes it as "partial 16S ribosomal RNA". It matches the Rfam family "Bacterial small subunit ribosomal RNA", at positions 524 to 776 of the family's 1533-position model. The record is from RNAcentral.
UACAGAGGGGGCAAGCGUUAUUCGGAAUUAUUGGGCGUAAAGAGCGUGUAGGCGGCCAUGUAGGUCCGGUGUGAAAACUCGAGGCUUAACCUCGAGAUGUCAUCGGAAACCAUUUGGCUAGAGUCCGGAAGAGGAGAGUGGAAUUCCUGGUGUAGCGGUGAAAUGCGCAGAUAUCAGGAAGAACACCGAUGGCGAAGGCAGCUCGCUGGGACGGUACUGACGCUGAGGCGCGAAAGCGUGGGGAGCAAACAGG